AGAGUUUGAUCCUGGCUCAGAACGAACGCUGGCGGCAUGCCUAACACAUGCAAGUCGAACGAAGGCUUCGGCCUUAGUGGCGCACGGGUGCGUAACGCGUGGGAAUCUGCCCAAAGCUACGGAAUAACUCGGGGAAACUCGUGCUAAUACCGUAUGAUGUCGCAAGACCAAAGAUUUAUCGGCUUUGGAUGAGCCCGCGUAGGAUUAGCUUGUUGGUGGGGUAAAGGCCUACCAAGGCGACGAUCAGUAGCUGAUUUGAGAGGAUGAUCAGCCACACUGGGACUGAGACACGGCCCAGACUCCUACGGGAGGCAGCAGUGGGGAAUAUUGGACAAUGGGCGAAAGCCUGAUCCAGCAAUGCCGCGUGAGUGAUGAAGGCCUUAGGGUUGUAAAGCUCUUUUACCCGGGAAGAUAAUGACUGUACCGGGAGAAUAAGCCCCGGCUAACUCCGUGCCAGCAGCCGCGGUAAU
This 470-nucleotide ribosomal RNA is filed under the name uncultured bacterium. RNAcentral describes it as "bacterial SSU rRNA". It matches the Rfam family "Bacterial small subunit ribosomal RNA", at positions 8 to 524 of the family's 1533-position model. The record is from RNAcentral.